Triticum aestivum (bread wheat) is the source of this 1571-nucleotide RNA transcript. RefSeq lists it as uncharacterized. NCBI's taxonomy places the organism in Eukaryota, Viridiplantae, Streptophyta, Magnoliopsida, Poales, Poaceae. The transcript has 2 exons. The record is from RefSeq and is a predicted model, not a curated record.
CCUCCUUCCCGCAACCGCCCCCACCACCCGAUCCACCUCUGUGCGCCGGCCCACCCCAAGACCAACCUCCGCCAUCGCGCCCACCUUCCUCCUCCUCCGGGCCACCACACAACCUCCCUCCUUCUCCCGCCCGCUGACCUCUCCUACCCACCUUCUCCCUCCAUGCCCUACCCGCCCCGCGGCGCACACCCACACCCCCAGGCGGCGCCCUGUGCCGGAUCCAGGCCGCGGCACACCCCCGCACCCGCCCGGCGACGCCCUGGGCCGGAUCCAGGCCGUGACACACCCGCGCACCCCCCCGGCGACGCCCUGGGUCGGAUCCAGGCCGUGGCGCACCCCACCCUCUCCGGCAUGGCGCGCACCACCCGAGACGCCGCGCACCCUCCCCACAUUCAACACGCACAGUGCGGAUCGACCAGCACCAGAUCCGGUCGCCGUGCCCGCUCGCCUCCCUGCCGAUCGGCCUCCUCCCUCCCGGCUGACGCCGCCUCCUCUCACCCACCAACCAAGCCCUCGGGCGGAGCCCCGCCCCACCACGGAUCGCCGAAUCCCGCCCGCCAUGAGACCAUCAUGCACUGCCCCACGCCUCAACCUAGCCGGCUGCCCCCACCAACCUUCCCCCAGUGAGGGCGAGAUGCUGCACAAACGUGGCAGCCGCCAAGGCUUCCCCUCCUCCGCAUCCGGCGGCCAUGGAGAUGGGGAAGCGUCGGGUGAGGUCCGACAGUGCUCCUUCGUGCAGCUCAGAACGCCCGUGCAUAGGUGAGUUUUUUUGUUCAAGUUGCAGCUCACUCCACCCACAUGUGUGCUGCAGGGGAGUCAGCGGGCGAGCCGCAUCCUCCUCUGAGGUGCGGGCGCAUAGAUGGCCACCGACGACCUUUGAGAUGGGCCACCCCUUCCCCUCGCUGUCUCUUCCCCUGAGAGGGGAUCCAGAGCCCGAUGAGCCUACCGAAUCGGGUCGUCGCCAGAGCCACCAUGGGAAUCCCACGAACACACGCAUCUAUGCAGUAAGCACAGCCAUGGAGAGCCCGCCGCUGCAGUUUGUGGGCGAUGCAGUUGGGUUGCCUGCAGCUCACCUUCGGCGUGCAGUUCGCCGGCAUCGGCAUGCGGUCCGGCUAUGCGCGCAUUGCAAAGAUUGGGCCCGACGGCAGUGCUGAUGCCCGACACUUGAGUCCGCUAUUGUUAAUUGCUGCAGUUUCAGAUUAAUUUCUUUUGUAGAAGAGAAGCCAAGAAGCAAACAAAGAGAAAAGAAGUGCACUACACACCCACUAAAAAAAACUUGAUGAUCGUUUGCUAAUUAAAUCAUGCAGUUAAUGUGUAUUAUGAAAAAGCAAAUAGUGAAAGAAAAAGUGCACUGCACUGUUUGCAGUGGGCAAUGCGGCAAAAGGUAGCCCAUGUGGUUCAGUUAGUUGCUGGUGGUGCUCGAGAGCUAAUUCUGCUCUGUAGAGAUGUAUGUAUGACUGUAUGUUUGCCUAGAGAUUCAUUAUUUUUUACCUUUUUGCAUCAAGAAUAUCAUGCAAAUGCAAUGCACUUUGGUCUUGAAAAAAGUCCAUUACGAAGGACUUUUCACACAA